RNAcentral lists this ribosomal RNA (492 nucleotides) under uncultured bacterium. RNAcentral's name for it is "partial 16S ribosomal RNA". It matches the Rfam family "Bacterial small subunit ribosomal RNA", at positions 29 to 507 of the family's 1533-position model. The record is from RNAcentral.
AGUGAACGCUGGCGGUAGGCCUAACACAUGCAAGUCGAACGGCAGCACAGUAAGAGCUUGCUCUUACGGGUGGCGAGUGGCGGACGGGUGAGGAAUACAUCGGAAUCUACUUUUUCGUGGGGGAUAACGUAGGGAAACUUACGCUAAUACCGCAUACGACCUACGGGUGAAAGCAGGGGAUCUUCGGACCUUGCGCGAUUGAAUGAGCCGAUGUCGGAUUAGCUAGUUGGCGGGGUAAAGGCCCACCAAGGCGACGAUCCGUAGCUGGUCUGAGAGGAUGAUCAGCAACACUGGAACUGAGACACGGUCCAGACUCCUACGGGAGGCAGCAGUGGGGAAUAUUGGACAAAGGGCGCAAGCCUGAUCCAGCCAUACCGCGUGAGUGAAGAAGGCCUUCGGGUUGUAAAGCCCUUUUGUUGGGAAAGAAAAGCAGCAGGUUAAUACCCCGCUGUUCUGACGGUACCCAAAGAAUAAGCACCGGCUAACUUCGUG